CGCACAUUGCGCCCAUUAGUAUUCUAGUGGGCAUGCCUGUUCGAGCGUCAUUUCAACCCUUAAGCCUAGCUUAGUAUUGGGAAUCGACUUUAGGGUCGUUCCUUAAAUUCAACGGCGGAUUUAUAGCAAUCUCUGAACGUAGUAAUUUUUAUCUCGUUUUUGAAAUACUAUAAACCUCAGCCGCUAAACCCCCAAUUUUCUAUGGUUGACCUCGGAUCAGGUAGGAAUACCCGCUGAACUUAA
This 243-nucleotide unclassified non-coding RNA is filed under the name Pestalotiopsis sp. RNAcentral describes it as "partial contains 5.8S ribosomal RNA, internal transcribed spacer 2, and large subunit ribosomal RNA". Lineage: Eukaryota; Fungi; Ascomycota; Sordariomycetes; Amphisphaeriales; Sporocadaceae. The record is from RNAcentral.